UGACAAACAUGUCAAAUUUCCUCUGGGAUGUUUCUACCCGAUAGGUAUCUGAUAGAGCUGUGGUAGAUGAUGAUGUCUACAAAACCUCUUGCACCUCCUCCAAAAAAGAAGACAAAAGCAGAACAGAAGAGCUUAACCUUAUACACAUGGCUUACCAAAAAGAAUGGAUGCUGAACUGACACGAUACCCAAGGGAAGAGGCACUAGAUACUCCGGCAGGCCGUUUAAUGUGGUGGUGAGACAAUGAAUCCAGGUUUCCUUUCAUUUCCAAGUUGGCAAGAAAUUUGUGCAACAAGUACUGCUUACUUUGGAAGGAAUGUCCAAUACAGCUGGGAAUAUUGUGACCUGCCAGAGAAAUUUAGCAUGCUAGUUUCUUUCCAAUAAUCUACCAAGCCAUUAAGGAGCAGGAUUGGAUUUGUUUUGGAAUGUGAUUUAUGGCCUGUUCUGCUAUGUUAGUUUAUUGUGAUUAUUUGUUUCUGUUAUUUACAGUUUUUUCAACUUUAUGAAAUAUGUUUAUGACUUUAUUUGGGAAUGAGAAAUUUUCAGUUUUUUAUUUUAUGGUCAUGUUUUGUGAUUGUUUCUGUUAUUCAUAUUUUCACAUUUUUAUUUACAUUUGUUCUUUAAAAAAAUCAUUUAAUAAAUUACUUGAAUAUUUAAA
Pimephales promelas (fathead minnow) is the source of this 657-nucleotide non-coding RNA. The record is from RefSeq and is a predicted model, not a curated record. Lineage: Eukaryota; Metazoa; Chordata; Actinopteri; Cypriniformes; Leuciscidae.